GCAACGCGAAAACCUUACCUACCCUUGACAUGUCCGGAAUCCCGAAGAGAUUUGGGAGUGCGUCGCAAGAGAACCGGAACACAGGUGCUGCAUGGCUGUCGUCAGCUCGUGUCGUGAGAUGUUGGGUUAAGUCCCGCAACGAGCGCAACCCUUGUCAUUAGUUGCCAUCAUUUGGUUGGGCACUCUAAUGAGACUGCCGGUGACAAAACCGGAGGAAGGUGGGGAUGACGUCAAGUCCUCAUGGCCCUUAUGGGUAGGGCUUCACACGUCAUACAAUGGUCGGUACGGAGGGUUGCCAACCCGCGAGGGGGAGGCUAAUCCCACAAAGACCGAUCGUAGUCCGGAUCGCAGUCUGCAACUCGACUGCGUGAAGUCGGAAUCGCUAGUAAUCGUGGAUCAGCAUGUCACGGUGAAUACGUUCCCGGGUCUU
This 430-nucleotide ribosomal RNA is filed under the name uncultured Rhodocyclaceae bacterium. Its description in RNAcentral is "bacterial SSU rRNA". It matches the Rfam family "Bacterial small subunit ribosomal RNA", at positions 956 to 1382 of the family's 1533-position model. Lineage: Bacteria; Pseudomonadati; Pseudomonadota; Betaproteobacteria; Rhodocyclales; Rhodocyclaceae. The record is from RNAcentral.